UGAGGAAUAUUGCUCAAUGGGGGAAACCCUGAAGCAGCAACGCCGCGUGGAGGAUGAAGGUUUUAGGAUUGUAAACUCCUUUUGUUAGAGAAGAUUAUGACGGUAUCUAACGAAUAAGCACCGGCUAACUCCGUGCCAGCAGCCGCGGUAAUACGGAGGGUGCAAGCGUUACUCGGAAUCACUGGGCGUAAAGAGUGCGUAGGCGGGGUAAUAAGUCAGAUGUGAAAUCCUGUAGCUUAACUACAGAACUGCAUUUGAAACUGUUACUCUGGAGUGUGGGAGAGGUAGGUGGAAUUCUUGGUGUAGGGGUAAAAUCCGUAGAGAUCAAGAGGAAUACUCAUUGCGAAGGCGACCUGCUGGAACAUUACUGACGCUGAUGCACGAAAGCGUGGGGAGCAAACAGG
This 404-nucleotide ribosomal RNA is filed under the name uncultured bacterium. RNAcentral's name for it is "bacterial SSU rRNA". It matches the Rfam family "Bacterial small subunit ribosomal RNA", at positions 355 to 776 of the family's 1533-position model. The record is from RNAcentral.